Rosa chinensis is the source of this 6831-nucleotide RNA transcript. It is a transcript of the gene named cysteine-tryptophan domain-containing zinc finger protein 7, with no coding region annotated. The record is from RefSeq and is a predicted model, not a curated record. The transcript has 12 exons. Lineage: Eukaryota; Viridiplantae; Streptophyta; Magnoliopsida; Rosales; Rosaceae.
AAAAAUAAAAAUUUGAGAGAAAGAGUGUGUCUCUGUUAAACCGAACCAAUUCGAGAUUUCACUCGCCGUUACUCUGAGAGAGACAGAGAGAGAGCUCCGAUCAUCGCUCCCGUCCAAUCGCCGCCGUCCAUUCUCCGAACCCGAUCAUCAUCGAGUUCAAUUCGCGGGAGAGUUUGGAUUCUAAUAUGAAUUCCGUCAAUUUCUAUUUGAUUUUUUUGGGGAUUUUUUUUCAUAGAAGAAGGAUUGUGAUAGUUUUCAAUUGCGCACUGUAAUAAUCGCUUCUAGGGAUUCGGGUUUCUGGGUUUUGUUGGGUUUUGCGAGAGCUUUGGUGGGUGUGGGAGCGUGUUGUGGGAAUUUGGACUGAUAUGCUGGACUUUAGGAGGUGGUGGGGGCGUUUAGAACACAAGGGUUAGGGUUUUAGGGGGGUUAGGGUUUCAAGAGAGAGAGAGAGAGAGAGAGAGAGAUAUGGAGGUGAAUAAUAAUAAUACUACCGAGCUUGAAGAAGGCGAGGCUUCUUGCUAUUACAAGGACGACGACGACGAAAACUUUGACCCGGAUAUCGAUCUCGCUUACCUUGAAGAGAAACUUGAUCAAGUUCUGGGACAUUUCCAGAAGGAUUUCGAGGGUGGGGCUUUUGCUGAGAAUUUGGGGGCCAAAUAUGGUGGAUAUGGCUCAUUUUUACCUACACAUGAACGAUCUCCAUCCGUUUUGUCUACUCCAAAGACACCGCAGGGAAACUGCAACACAUCAAGAUCUCCUAAAAGUUCCAUGGAGGGUGCCUCUCAAAAUUUGAAAGCUUCAUCAAAUGCGCUUCCAACUGUGAGGCUUGGAACUUCUUCAUCUAGUGCUCGUUUGUCACGUAAUUCUGGGGGUUUUGUGGGCAUUUCCUCUAAAGAGGAUUCAUGUGUUCCUUCUACUCAAGUAGCUGAGAGGUGUUCCUUGAAAGAUGAGAUGCCAAACAGAUCUGGUAAUCCAGCUGAUCGAAGGACACUAAAGGUUCGAAUCAAAAUGAACUCUGAUAACACAUCUCGGAAGAACGUAGCAAUUUAUAGUGGUCUUGGGCUUAACUCCCCAUCUUCAUCUUUUGGGAAUAGCCCCGACGAAAGUGGAGAGAUGCCACCUGCCUCUCAAGUGAAUGUAGAUGAGUCUCCCACUAACAUUAUUCAGGUUAUGACUUCGUCUCCAGUUCCUGGGCAUGUGCUGAUGUCACCUCUUCAUGACAGUUUAAUUUCUCUAACGAGAAAGAAAAAGCUUCAUCAACAGAACAUGUUGCCCCAAUCUAAGGGUCCUCAAGAACAUUCUUCUUUGUCUGCUUCCACACUGGGAAAUGGAAAAUUGUUAAAGGAGCCGAAUGUUGAAGUUACAGGUAAGGGUGAAAAGCAGGUAGAACUGAAGAUUGAGAGUGUUAUGAAUGUUAAGAAUGACAUGAAAAUUCUUAUAAAAAAGAAAUCAGGAACCGACACUCUAGGAGGCAAGGAGCUAUUGUCCAAUGGCUACAAAACAUUCCAGUUAUCCAACUCAGUGGGUGAUGUUGUUGACUGUGUUAAAGUUACUCAUAGAACACCCAAUUCCCGGGUAACCAAUGAGAAUGAGGUGAAAAGAAGUUUAUCUUUCUCUGAGUUAGCGAAGCAGGAGUCAUUGGAGUCGAUAUCCGGUCAUGGUUGUGACAAGAAUGAGAAGCAAAAUUCUAGGUGUGGUUCAGUGGAAAAAGUUCGGAAACAGUCAGUAAAAAAUUCCCACAAGGAUGCCCUGGUUGAUCUCAGAGAUGGAGGCAAGAACAAGGGUUUUCCUGCCUCAAUAGAUUAUUCUGGUGCAUUCAAAUGCAAGGAAGAGCUAGACCUGCACCCCCAAAAUGCUGGUGAGGAAAGUACAUAUCAUGAUCAAGAAAAGACUAAUGUGCCUGGCAAGAAGGAAACACUGUCUUUUGAGGGCAAGAUUAAGUCAAAGGGAAAACUAAGUAAUGAAAAGCAACCAGGUAUUUUAACAAAGGAAAGCUUGGGAGUUGAAAUGGGUGUAGUGCCAAAAGAUGAAAUGAAUGGUGGUCAUGGUGUUUCUCUAUCUAGCAGAAAAGUGCAGAAGUUAAAGUCGCAGAAGGAUACAGUCAGAGAUAACCGUAGAGAUUCAUUGGCGGCUAAAGUUUUGGAACGACGGGCUAAAAUGGAUGUAGCAGAAAGGCCUAUUGAUGAUAUUGACAUGGAAUGUAAAUCAUCCAAGGACAGACCAAGUGAAAAACUGAGUGGUAGAAAGGUUGAUAAUCGGUUAGUGUCAGGGGGGUCUGUAAACGAUGCUUCUACUAUGUGCCGCCCUACAAUUGAAAAUGGACUUGCAUCAGAGAUUGUACCAGUAGCUGCAGCUCCUGUUGUUAUAGAAGAAGAUUGGGUAUGCUGUGAUAGUUGUCAGAAGUGGAGGCUUCUCCCCUUCGGCAAAAAGCCAGAGCAACUCCCUGAGAAAUGGUUGUGUAGCAUGCUAGACUGGCUGGGGCCUGGGAUGAACCAAUGUGACAUCAGUGAAGAUGAAACAACAAAAGCACUUAAUGCAUUGUACCAUCUACCAUCUUCAGAAAGUCUGACUAACCCGCAAACUCAUGCUAAUGGAACAUCAUCUGUAGUACCUGCAGGUCAUGCUCAACAUCUGGGUCAAAAUUAUCAAAAUCUCAGUUCUAAUGGCAUGUCUAAUAGGGUGAAGAAGAGACAUGGUGUGAAGGAAACAAGGAAUGCAGGUAGUGGUGAUGGUGUCUUGAAAUCUUACCUGCAAGAACCUGUGAAGUGCACAAGCUUAAAUGACAUGAACCUGCCUCCUUUAGAACCAAAUCCAAUAAAGAAAUCUAGUGAUCAUUUUAUGAGUAACCUCCAGAACUUGGGCAUGGAAGAAAACAUAGCCAAACAGAAGGAGAAGCAAAUAAGUGGAGGUGAUGCAAAGAAAGUAAGAUUAAAACACAAGAAGGAUACUGAUCCCUAUAAAUGUGGUACUUCUAAGAAGCCCAGGAGAGAAGAUGUGUUGCAUGCUGAUAAAGAUCAGAGUUCUGAUAACGACCUUGGGAGGGUGGGGAUCACUUCUAGUAAUGGUGUGCUGACCCAUGUACUUGGUCAGGAUGGAAAAUACAAUGAUUUCUGUUACUCUGAAGACACAGAGGAUAAAUUACAAAUUUCUGCAAGGAAACCGGGGCAUCAAACUCAGGUCUCAUUAGAUGGUGGGCCUUUGGAUGUGAGAACGUGCAGUAAAGGGGAUAGUUCCAUGAAGAAAAUGAGAAAGAGAGAGUGGCAGGAUAAUCAGAAUAAUGUGGAAACAUUUCAUAAUUCUGUGCAUGAAGGCCGGGUAAAUACAAAGGAGGAAAGUAGUGAAAGUGGAUCUUGGAAGGAAAAGAAGGCCAGGAUUUUAAAAACUGAAGGCAAAGAGUCUAGCACUAGUAAUAUUGAUGAUAAGUCAGAUAGAAAGAGCAGAGUUACCAAGAUUGUUGUGUCAGGCAUAAAAGCUCAUCCCAUUGAUCCUAUGAAAAAGGAUAGGAAUAUUGUCAGGGAUCAGCAACCCAGGAAUUGCAGUAAAAGGGAUUUGGGAUCUGGGCAUGUUUCUUUAGCUGCCACUUCAAGCUCUUCAAAGGUUUCAGGUUCCCGUAAAAGCAGAGGUAAGCUUGAGGAAGUGAAAGGCUCGCCUGUGGAAUCGGUUUCUUCAUCUCCUUUAAGGACCUCUAACUCAGACAGGCUGACUUCGGCGAAGGGAGAUGGCUUUGUGAAGGAUGAACCCAUUUGUGGUGGAUUCUCUCUGACGAGUAAUUCCAAAAGAUGCUGGGAUGGGGAUGGAAAUGGUAGUGUUGCUAGAUUUGGGAACACCAGGACAGAGAAAACAUCAGCGCGUAUUCAUCCUGAAUCUCAUAAAUUUUCAACUGUAGGCUACCAUGAGGGAGGUGCUAGUGGUCAUGAUGAUAGUUUAGGACAACAUGGCCAGUUCCUCAGUAAUCAGCAUGACCUGCAUCAUUGUCAUCAUGAUAAUAGAGAGAACAAGAUCCACCCCAAAGAUGCAGUUUUUCUGAAAAGAUCCGGUAAGGACUCCUGUUUGCAGUCUAAGGACAAUAUUAGAGGUUCUACUAGUGACUUAGAUAUGGAUAAGGUGAAGAUCUCGGGUCCAGUGAAUGAGUACUCAAAAAAGAGUCAAAGAUAUGCAUCUGAGAUUGACCGCAAUCAUGAUGUUAGAAACAAUCUUCCUGAAGAGUGUAGCAUUAAGCCAGUGAAGGUCAAGGAUGAGAAAUAUCAUGUUACUUGGGGGGACAAGGUGGGACAAGGGUCAAGUGGCAGUGCAGCGGAAACUCAACUAAAACAAAAAGGCUAUGAUGUGUCAGAUGAGAAGUUGGGUGCUACUCAAUUUCCUAUUAGAAAAGGUGCCCCACGGCAGAACAUGAAUCAGGAUUUUGGGUAUGGUCAGAAACAAAAUAAUUCCAGAAGCGGAAAACCAAAACCAUCUUCACAUUCUCACAGUGAAUUAAAAGAGGGGAUUACAAAAAAAGAAGGGGAAGAAGGGAUUGAAAGGGAAGAGGGGGCACGAUCUCAUGGUUCUCGAGCUGUGGCAUGGCCUGAGAGAGAAGUUGUGUUUCAAGGACUUCCAGUAAGUUCUGCUGUCAAUGGUAAUAUGCAAAAGUCAUUAAAACAAUAUGGGACUGAUUCUAACAAGAAUGGAGUUAAUCGCAAUUUGGGACAUCUUAUGCCCGAUCAUCAGGGAGCAAGAGAUGUCAAUGCUUCAAGUCCUGUGAUAGGCACCUCUGGCCAGAUUGCUACUAAGACCCUGAAUGAAGCUAGAAGUCUAAGAGACACGGCUGAAAAUUCUAAGAACCGUGGGUUUCACGACGAAAGUAGUGUGGCUUAUUUCCAAGCUGCCCAAAAGUUUCUUCAAGGAGCAGCACUUUUGGAAAGUUGCGGUAAUGAGAAAGGCAAGCAUGAAGAUAUGACUCCAUUGCAAGUGUAUAGCAGUACAGCUAAGCUUUGCGAAUUUUGUGCCCAUGAAUUCGAAGAACUCAAAGAAGUUGCUUCUGCUGCGUUGGCCUAUAAAUGCAUGGAGGUGGCAUACAUGAGGGUAGUUUACUGUAAACAUUCUAGUAUAAACAGAGAUCGGCAGGAGUUGCAAGCUACUCUGAAUAUGCCUCCUCAAGGUGAGUCUCCAUCAUCUUCUGCUUCAGAUAUUGAUAAUUUAACCAACCAAGUGACAGCAGAAAAGGCUAUAUUAUGUAAGGGUAUUGGUUCUCUUGUUGCUGGAAACCAUCAUGUUGCUCGAAACCGCCCCAAGAUUCUCAGGCUGCUCGACUUUACACAGGAUGUAAAUUGUGCAAUGGAAGCCUCCACAAAAUCCCAGAUUGCUUUUUCAGCUGCUUGCCUGACCCUGGAAGAUGCACGUAAGAAUGAUUGUAUUUCUUCUAUUAGGAGGGUAAUUGAGUUCAGCUUCCAAGAUGUAGAGGAAUUCGUCCACUUGGUUGAACAUGCAGUGAUGGCCAUAGGUCGGUCCAAAUUUGGUGGUGCUAGAGAUUAAGUCAGCCUUGUAGAUAUUGCAUGUUUUUCUGGUUUUUCGUCAAAACAGGCAUCAGGAAAGAAAGGACAAGGAUGCCUUCAUAGAUCUGCACUUGAAAAUCUGCGAAGAGGCGGAUUCAACAGAUUAUUACCCUCUGUACAUGUGUACAAACUUUUCCAUGCAAGGAUAUGUAUUGAAUAUACAGGUAUGUCACAUUCUGUUUUCACUAUAGUGGUGAUACUCGAGGCUCUCCCAUUCAGUAAGUUGCUUUCAGUAUGUUGAAUUGCAGUGGAGAAUGUCAUGUUAGUGUAGGUCAUAAUUAAAGAACUUCUGUUGUUUCAGUUGGGUUCUGUGCAGUUGCUGAGAAGUUUGCUGACUCGUGACCUUUGUGGAGUGGAGUAUGCACUAUAGCCAUCAGCUUCAUGUGAGUUUAAUUUUUAUGGAAAGGACUACAAUUUUUGUUUUGUUGCAAGAGUUACCCUAUUUACUUAUAUGUAUUACUCUGAUAAGAAAUUUAGCAUACGAGUAUAUAACAUAUGUGACUGGAGGUAUCUUUUGAUGCUUUGGGUGAGAUGUAAAAUUUGUCACCGUCCAUGCUUUAUAGGUGCUGCACUAGGAUGUAGGAGGUAAAGCUCUAUAUAUAAAUACUUUUCUGGGAUGCAAUUGGAGAGCUCAGAAGCAAAUUAACGAUAGUGUAGUUUACCUUGGUGAAUGCACAAACAUAUUUUCCAGGCAGUCUGCUGACUGUUUGCAUAUUACUUUCACUUGUUUUUAUUUCCAUUCAUCCAUUUAGAAGCUUAAAUUGUAGCAAUAUAUGCCAUUGGUUGUCGUUAGAUCAUAAGGUUUCCAAUAAUGAAAAGAAUCGUAAAGGUUUGGAAAGAAAAGAAAAGAAGAGAAAGAGGUAGGUCAAUGUACCAUGUGUCUAUCACUGGGUUGGGAUGUUUGUGAAGAAUGUAGACUGAUAUGGCGGCAUUUAUUGAAAUUCAGUGGUUAAAGAUGUUACUACUAGAAUAACCUUGCUCUGCCCCUGGGACGAAGGUGGUGAACCAGUGUUGUACUGAUUUUGAUUAACAAAUUGGGAUCUUGGUUUGAGGAAGGUGGAGAAUGGAGCUUUUACUCGUCUUUAGCAGCAUUAAGUUUGGUUAUUGAGAUGGUGUCCUCUCUCUACAUUGUACCUUUGGUUUUGAUUGUUGUUUUUGUUCUUCUUGUUUUCACUGCGGUUUGUUUAAGAGCGCAUAUUUGUAAGGCACUGUUAGCCUGUUUUACCCAUUGCUGCCUCCAGAACCUUGCACCAUGUAUCACAGUAAUGAUUUAAGCAAUAUAAUCUCAAGCCUGUUUAUA